GAGUGAACGCUGGCGGUAGGCCUAACACAUGCAAGUCGAACGGCAGCCCAGUAAGAGCUUGCUCUUACGGGUGGCGAGUGGCGGACGGGUGAGGAAUACAUCGGAAUCUACUUUUUCGUGGGGGAUAACGUAGGGAAACUUACGCUAAUACCGCAUACGACCUACGGGUGAAAGCAGGGGAUCUUCGGACCUUGCGCGAUUGAAUGAGCCGAUGUCGGAUUAGCUAGUUGGCGGGGUAAAGGCCCACCAAGGCGACGAACCGUAGCUGGUCUGAGAGGAUGAUCAGCCACACUGGAACUGAGACACGGUCCAGACUCCUACGGGAGGCAGCAGUGGGGAAUAUUGGACAAUGGGCGCAAGCCUGAUCCAGCCAUACCGCGUGGGUGAAGAAGGCCUUCGGGUUGUAAAGCCCUUUUGUUGGGAAAGAAAAGCAGCAGGUUAAUACCCCGCUGUUCUGACGGUACCCAAAGAAUAAGCACCGGCUAACUUCGUG
This 493-nucleotide ribosomal RNA is filed under the name uncultured bacterium. RNAcentral's name for it is "partial 16S ribosomal RNA". It matches the Rfam family "Bacterial small subunit ribosomal RNA", at positions 27 to 507 of the family's 1533-position model. The record is from RNAcentral.